UGAGUAACCUGCCCUGGACUUUGGGAUAACCCUCGGGAAACGGGGGCUAAUACCGGAUAUGACGCACUCUCGCAUGGGAUGUGUGUGGAAAGUUUUUCGGUCUGGGAUGGGCUCGCGGCCUAUCAGCUUGUUGGUGGGGUGAUGGCCUACCAAGGCGACGACGGGUAGCCGGCCUGAGAGGGCGACCGGCCACACUGGGACUGAGACACGGCCCAGACCUCCGUACGGGAGCA
RNAcentral lists this ribosomal RNA (233 nucleotides) under uncultured bacterium. RNAcentral's name for it is "partial 16S ribosomal RNA". It matches the Rfam family "Bacterial small subunit ribosomal RNA", at positions 118 to 347 of the family's 1533-position model. The record is from RNAcentral.